This 291-nucleotide ribosomal RNA is filed under the name uncultured prokaryote. Its description in RNAcentral is "partial 16S ribosomal RNA". It matches the Rfam family "Bacterial small subunit ribosomal RNA", at positions 505 to 796 of the family's 1533-position model. The record is from RNAcentral.
GUGCCAGCAGCCGCGGUAAUACGUAGGUCCCGAGCGUUGUCCGGAUUUAUUGGGCGUAAAGCGAGCGCAGGCGGUUUGAUAAGUCUGAAGUUAAAGGCUGUGGCUCAACCAUAGUUCGCUUUGGAAACUGUCAAACUUGAGUGCAGAAGGGGAGAGUGGAAUUCCAUGUGUAGCGGUGAAAUGCGUAGAUAUAUGGAGGAACACCGGUGGCGAAAGCGGCUCUCUGGUCUGUAACUGACGCUGAGGCUCGAAAGCGUGGGGAGCGAACAGGAUUAGAUACCCCAGUAGUCC